UAAGCCCAAAAUAUGUCAGUUGAGUUAAACUUUGACCAGCCCAGGUGACUAGUUUAUAGGUCUUGAAACUUUGUGUCAGCAAAGACCACACAGCCCAAAUUCCUGGAGCAUGUCUUGUGUUUGUAUUCAAACAGAACCCUGAAAUGUUUUCUCUCCCUAAGUAUUUCAGACACAUUCUUCUCAUUGGAAACCUUCACGUCUUACACAACUCCCUCUGUAUCUAAACUAUGUUAAAGAUACAUAGAGAAAGGAUGACAUCACGGAGCUGAUUUUGUCCUUUGAGCUCGGUGUUUAGCUAAAGUUGAGCAGUUACAAUGAGUCAUGCAAUCUUGUGACCAGCCGGGCACUUUUCCAAUCAGAGAGACUGUUAAGAUCUUCGACAACAGACCCGUAGUUGUUUGAAGAAGAGUUGUCAACAGUGACCUGGACGCUGGGCGAUACCUGGCUUCUAUGAGUAACAAAAUGAGGGCCUAUUCCUGCUGAAUAACAAAACACCAAUGGUGAGGUAAUACUUAGUAGAGCUGACUCAUUUCCUCACUUACAGAUGAAAGGAAUUGUCCAAGAAAUUACUGUCUCACAGGAGGACGUGGUGAGAAGGAGGCUAUCUGCAAGCCAGCAAGAGUUCUUACAAGAACUGCACCAUGCUGCUGCCCUCAUCUUGGACUUCAGCCUCCAAAUGGCCUGACAAAGAAAUAUUGAGAUGAUUCUGCACAAAAUUCUGGCUAUUUGGAGAUACAAGAGUGUUUAUUUUCUUCUGGAAGGUUCCAGAUAGUUACCUCAGUUCUGCCCUUCAAUUUGCAUAUAAACAUAAAAUGGAGCACUGGACCCCAUAUUCCACAAAAAGGCUCAAUUUAAUUUUCUUUGAAUGAAGGGUGUUUUAUCAAUAAAAUUAAAAUCCCAUUAAAUUCUCUGAUACUUGA
This is a long non-coding RNA of Equus quagga, 920 nucleotides long. RefSeq lists it as uncharacterized. The transcript has 3 exons. The record is from RefSeq and is a predicted model, not a curated record. Lineage: Eukaryota; Metazoa; Chordata; Mammalia; Perissodactyla; Equidae.